RNAcentral lists this long non-coding RNA (319 nucleotides) under Mytilus galloprovincialis (Mediterranean mussel). The record is from RNAcentral. Lineage: Eukaryota; Metazoa; Mollusca; Bivalvia; Mytilida; Mytilidae.
GGGAAUAACUCUCAUAUGGAGUCUCCGGAUAGCUUCGGUCAAAACUAAACUCCUAAUCCUAAAGAUGUAACGAGCAUUUUGGUAAAAUAAAUUUGUCGUUAUCUUUUACGGUUGCGAAGGAGUAGUGGCCACAAGAAAAACAGUGUUUGGGGAGAUAACUCUUACAACGUAAAGUAUUUGGUUACGCAGUUGUCAGUUUUAAAAGCGCAUACGCUUUACAAUAUCAUAUUCCAAAUAUCUAAGCGACAUCUUUUGAAACGUCAAUAUUACGCAAGAAAAAAAUUAGGCGGAAGCAAAAAAAUAAAUAAAUAAUCAGAAC